GGAGGCUGUCUAGCUGGUGGCUAGGACCGGCCUUAUAAGCCGGACAUUCCCUACGGGGAAUCGGGUCCGAUCCCCGCAGCCUCCGCCA
RNAcentral lists this transfer RNA (88 nucleotides) under Terriglobia bacterium. Its description in RNAcentral is "tRNA-Ile". The record is from RNAcentral. Lineage: Bacteria; Pseudomonadati; Acidobacteriota; Terriglobia.